GCAGCCUGAUCCAGCCAUACCGCGUGGGUGAAGAAGGCCUUCGGGUUGUAAAGCCCUUUUGUUGGGAAAGAAAUCCAGCCGGUUAAUACCUGGUUGGGAUGACGGUACCCAAAGAAUAAGCACCGGCUAACUUCGUGCCAGCAGCCGCGGUAAUACGAAGGGUGCAAGCGUUACUCGGAAUUACUGGGCGUAAAGCGUGCGUAGGUGGUUGUUUAAGUCUGUUGUGAAAGCCCUGGGCUCAACCUGGGAACUGCAGUGGAAACUGGACGACUAGAGUGUGGUAGAGGGUAGCGGAAUUCCUGGUGUAGCAGUGAAAUGCGUAGAGAUCAGGAGGAACAUCCAUGGCGAAGGCAGCUACCUGGACCAACACUGACACUGAGGCACGAAAGCGUGGGGAGCAAACAGGAUUAGAUACCCUGGUAGUCCACGCCCUAAACGAUGCGAACUGGAUGUUGGGUGCAAUUUGGCACGCAGUAUCGAAGCUAACGCGUUAAGUUCGCCGCCUGGGGAGUACGGUCGCAAGACUGAAACUCAAAGGAAUUGACGGGGGCCCGCACAAGCGGUGGAGUAUGUGGUUUAAUUCGAUGCAACGCGAAGAACCUUACCUGGCCUUGACAUGUCGAGAACUUUCCAGA
RNAcentral lists this ribosomal RNA (635 nucleotides) under Stenotrophomonas sp. Se1Pt_352. Its description in RNAcentral is "bacterial SSU rRNA". It matches the Rfam family "Bacterial small subunit ribosomal RNA", at positions 378 to 1004 of the family's 1533-position model. The record is from RNAcentral. Lineage: Bacteria; Pseudomonadati; Pseudomonadota; Gammaproteobacteria; Lysobacterales; Lysobacteraceae.